This 46-nucleotide non-coding RNA is filed under the name Schistosoma mattheei. The record is from RNAcentral. Lineage: Eukaryota; Metazoa; Platyhelminthes; Trematoda; Strigeidida; Schistosomatidae.
GCACUGGUGAGGAGUCGCAGAAUAAAAGUAAACGGCCGUCCAGUGC